CACACUUCUGUAUAUGUAUAUGUGUGUGUGUGUGUGUGUGUGUGUGUGUGUGUAUACAUACAUACAUACAUACAUACAUAUAUAUAUAUAUAUAUAUAUA
RNAcentral lists this microRNA precursor (100 nucleotides) under Mus musculus (house mouse). Its description in RNAcentral is "predicted gene, 54524 (ENSMUSG00002076621.1)". The record is from RNAcentral. Lineage: Eukaryota; Metazoa; Chordata; Mammalia; Rodentia; Muridae.